GGAUAGUUAUCAUAUAAUAUUACAAAAACAGCAGCAUUAAAAACCAAAAACACUAGUGCCAGCACAACAGGCAUAAAAAAUAACUUAAGUAGACUAUAUUAGACUUGGCUUAAGAGGGAAAGACAAAUUAAGGGACAAGAUGGGGAGACACUUAGGAGGAAGGACCAGAAGGACUAUGGGACAAUUGUCGGAGAAGCAUGGUCAUUCUUUCAUUUUUUGCGGCAUGAUUCUUCAGAAGUUGUUGAGUCAAAUCCUCAAUUUUUUCAUCCAAAUCCUUAAUUUUUGCAUCUAAUUUCUUCACCUUUUUCAUAUCAGGUUCUCCAUUGAACCUGCUACCUCAUCACUCCCUUUCACUGAUGCUGCAUUUAAAACUAUAAUUUCUGCUUUCUUUUAUUCCAAAACGACUGCCAUCUUAUCCAAUUUUUCCCUCAAUCUAAUUUGGACAUCAACCAAAUUAGCAACGAUGGAUUUGGACUUUGAACCACCUCUUCUUGGGAUUCUCUCAUUAUCCUCCAAGAUCAUUAAAUUAAACAUUUAUUUUACUAAUCCUACUUUUCCAGGGCCAUACUCAACAUUGAAGUAUGAAAAGAUACUGUUUAUCCAAAACCCAUAGGCCAAUUCAUGCUUUCCAUCUUUUGACAUCAUCACUGUGUUAAUGUGAUCAAUAACAAUAGCUAGAAGAUUCACUUCUAAUACUUGGACAAGGCUUCCAUGAGGGAUAUGUUAGGACGAGUCAUUGUGGUCCUCUUCUCAGUAUGAGAAAGGAGCACCUUGUUAACAAACUCAAAAAGAAGUUGGUUUUCUCCUUCAGAGCCUUCUUGUUCACAUUUUUGAUGUUUAUAUCAUCCAGAUUGACGCAGAUUUUCAAUAAAAAUACAGAAUGUUUUUCAUUUCUUAGGGACCUGGUCCCUUCAACACGUACACCAGGAAUAUCAGAUAACGCCUCUUCAUCAAUGGCAAUGCUCACCCCAUUUAAUUGAGUAGUCAAGUACAAAGCAUCACCAGAGAAAGUUAGAUUGUGAUAAAACAUUCCAACUUCCUUAUCAUACAAGGUAGGAACUGAUAACUCAAAAAGGUGAUCCGAACUUUGAAAUUUUACCUAAUCCACCAACUCUUUCAUUUUUGGAAUAGCAGCAACAUCAGGGUUAAAAACUCGAUCUCUUAAAACCUCUUGGGUUUUAAGAAUCUCUUGUCUUGCUUUCUAUGACAAAUACUUUACUUUUUCUUUGGAAGUUAAAGAUUUUCUAGUAGGACCGAUUCCUUUUGCAGAGACCCCAGGGGCUCAACUUUAAUCUAGGACCUAGUCCCUUAGUGCUGGACUUCUCACUCAUUUUCUUUUUACUUGUGCUUGUAGGCAUGGGCUUCUUGAUCAAUACUCCUCUUGAUUAACCUUUAUUAGUGAAAACAACUUUUCCUUUUGUCUUGGAUCUGGUGGCAGCCACACUCCUCUCAAUAUUAGAAUCGUCAUCAACAUCCUCACACAGAUCAUUAUCCUCAUACAUACUCCCCAAAAGACUUUCAAAGUCACUAGUAGAACUUUCAUCAAAAUUACUCUCAGUCUCCUCAUGAGAUUUCUUAAAUACUACAAUCAUUCCCUGUAUUUUUAGUGUCCUCUUUUUCUUAGUGUUAAUUUUAUUUGUUAUCAAGGCUUAUUUCAUCAAGUUCCUUGAACUCAACCUGGUCGCUGGAGGUUUAACAAGUUUUGGUAGAGCUUUGGUAAAGGAAGGUUCGAUUGUCCUCUCUAUUAGUAUCUUCUUUUUCAUCUGCAUUUCCACCAGACAGGUCAAGAAUGGGGGCAACGCCAAGUUUUCAUCCUCAACACUCUCAGUAAGAUCAUUUUGCCUCCUUGUGGAUAAUAUAGAAGGAGUUAUAUCCCACUUAGGUUAAUCGGAGUACAAGAGUCACUAGGAGGCUCUCCAUUAAGGGUAGUAAGACCUUAAAUCCCAAUUUUCUCACUCAUGGCAAGGAUAUUUAAAGACAUACCCUUAGAAGUUGGAAAAUCCCCAUUAAACAUAUUUUCAUCAAUGGAGACACUCCCAGACUUACUAGGUGACUCAACUUUUAUCGGGGACAAGACUUUGAAAGGGAAUUUUAAAAUUGACUCAAAGGGAUAGGUUGGUCCGGGAUUGAAAGAAUUUCUUCAGAAACUUUGUCUUUAGAAGGGAUAAUUAUAGUAUUAGGGAUGGGGUGUGCAUCUUGGUUAGUUUUGUUAGAUAAAGAUGCAUCUGAUGAAUCUUUCUCCUUUUGAGACCUAAACUCACGAGCAACUUUGGAAAGACAGAGUGAAGAGUAUUUUAUAAUGGCAGAAGCAUUUGAGGGGUAGAAUCAGGGUACCAGGAUGGAGAAUAAGACACUUCUAAGGGUAUUAAAUCACCUUGAGGUGGAUAAGACGAAUGAGAGUUUGAAAUUUUGGUUAAUUUUGAGAGACAAAGUCAUUUUGAAAAGAAUAACCAAGAGAGAAAUUUGGGAACUUGUAGGCUAUGAAUGUAAGG
RNAcentral lists this long non-coding RNA (2492 nucleotides) under Capsicum annuum. Its description in RNAcentral is "long non-coding RNA (CANN_LNC004358)". Lineage: Eukaryota; Viridiplantae; Streptophyta; Magnoliopsida; Solanales; Solanaceae. The record is from RNAcentral.